GCCCCUAUAGCUCAGUGGUAGAGCGCAGCACUCGUAUCACGUGUUUCAUCCCAAAAAAUGCGAACAUGCGACAUGCUGAGGUCCAUCGUUCAAUCCGGUGUGGGGGCA
Molecule: non-coding RNA, 108 nt
Organism: Hypoxylon fragiforme
Lineage: Eukaryota; Fungi; Ascomycota; Sordariomycetes; Xylariales; Hypoxylaceae
Source: the annotation of a RefSeq genome assembly